Molecule: small nucleolar RNA, 107 nt
Organism: Humulus lupulus (European hop)
Lineage: Eukaryota; Viridiplantae; Streptophyta; Magnoliopsida; Rosales; Cannabaceae
Source: RefSeq, a predicted model, not a curated record
AUGCCAUGAUGAGGGCAUUUUCUUAGUAACUCCUUGAACCGCUCCCAUGCCUCAUAUAAAGAAUCAUCGUCGAGUUGCUGAAAUGAAGUGAUUUCAUGGCGGAGCUU